UAAGAAGGUAAGAUAGCCCUUACCAUGCCCAUCUCAUCUGAUCUUGGAAGCUAAGCAGGCUCUAGUCUGUGUACUACUUGGAUGAGAUUCCCCCCUGGGAAUAUGAGUCACUGUAG
This 116-nucleotide ribosomal RNA is filed under the name Meriones unguiculatus (Mongolian gerbil). Lineage: Eukaryota; Metazoa; Chordata; Mammalia; Rodentia; Muridae. The record is from RNAcentral.